GAUGAACGCUGGCGGCGUGCCUAAUACAUGCAAGUCGAGCGAACAGACGAGGAGCUUGCUCCUCUGACGUUAGCGGCGGACGGGUGAGUAACACGUGGAUAACCUACCUAUAAGACUGGGAUAACUUCGGGAAACCGGAGCUAAUACCGGAUAAUAUAUUGAACCGCAUGGUUCAAUAGUGAAAGACGGUUUUGCUGUCACUUUUAGAUGGAUCCGCGCCGCAUUAGCUAGUUGGUAAGGUAACGGCUUACCAAGGCAACGAGGUGAAGCCGACCUGAGGGGAUGAUGGGCAACCGGGGAAAGGGGACGGGCGCCAACACUGGAAGGGAGACACGAUGAGGAAUCUUCCGGGAAGGGGCAAAGGCGAAACGGGCAAAACGGGGGGAAGUAAGAAGGUGCUGCGGAGCGUAAACCAUUUUUUUAGGGGAAGAAAAAAGGUGUAGUUAAUGUGAAGAGUUUGACGGGACCUGAGGAGAAAGGCCCGGCUAAAUACGUG
RNAcentral lists this ribosomal RNA (496 nucleotides) under uncultured bacterium. Its description in RNAcentral is "partial 16S ribosomal RNA". It matches the Rfam family "Bacterial small subunit ribosomal RNA", at positions 28 to 507 of the family's 1533-position model. The record is from RNAcentral.